GGUGGAGGGGAUUUGUAUUUGUAAACUGGGGGUGGUGGAGAGGGGUACUUGUACGGUGGCGGUGGAGGAGAUGGGUACUUGUAUGGUGGUGGAGGUGAUUUGUACUUGUAAACUGGCGGUGGAGGAGAUGGGUACUUGUAUGGUGGUGGUGGUGGAGAAGGAUACUUGUAGGGUGGAGGUGGAGACUUAUACUUGUAAACCGGUGGUGGU
Vigna umbellata (rice bean) is the source of this 210-nucleotide non-coding RNA. The record is from RefSeq and is a predicted model, not a curated record. Lineage: Eukaryota; Viridiplantae; Streptophyta; Magnoliopsida; Fabales; Fabaceae.